UAGUCAUAUGCUUGUCUCAAAGAUUAAGCCAUGCACGUGUAAGAUCGUCUUGAAUAGCAAUAUUUACCGGCAAUCUGUGGAAAGCUCAUUAUAACAGUUACAAACUUGGCUUUCUAGCUUAAAGUUAAAAGGAUAACACAGUCAAAUGCAGUGAUAAUACUUGAACCAAAGCUAAUGAAUUGUAUAGUUAGCGAACAAUAGCGAGUAAGGGAAAAUACGCUAUAGCAUCCUUUUGGAUCGAUUGACCUCAUUUGAGGCCUAGGAGAAGUAUUUCUUACUUAUCAUGCUAGUUGUUUCAGUAAGGGUGAAACAAGGCCGUCACGGGUACGGAAAAUUGGGGUUUGACACCGGAGAGGGAGCCUGAGAAAUGGCUACCACAUCUAAGGAUGGCAGCAGGCGCGAAAAUUACCCAAUCCUAACAUUUGGGAGGUAGUGACAAGAAAUAACGUCCUUCCAUUCUUGGAAGGGUACCGCAAGGUUUGGAAUGGUUCUAGUUCAAAUUUCUAUUAGAGUAACAAUU
This 520-nucleotide ribosomal RNA is filed under the name uncultured eukaryote. RNAcentral describes it as "bacterial SSU rRNA". It matches the Rfam family "Eukaryotic small subunit ribosomal RNA", at positions 21 to 549 of the family's 1831-position model. The record is from RNAcentral.